CAGAGGUCCCAAGCGUUGUUCGGAUUCACUGGGCGUAAAGGGUGCGUAGGUGGCAGGGUAAGUCGGAUGUGAAAUCUCCGAGCUCAACUCGGAAAUGGCAUUGGAAACUACCCAGCUCGAGGGUUGGAGGGGGGACUGGAAUACUUGGUGUAGCAGUGAAAUGCGUAGAUAUCAAGUGGAACACCAGUGGCGAAGGCGAGUCCCUGGACAACUCCUGACACUGAGGCACGAAAGCUAGGGGAGCAAACAGGAUUAGAUACCCUGGUAGUCCUAGCCGUAAACGGUGCACGUUUGCUGUAAAAGGAAUCGACCCCUUUUGUGGCGUAGCCAACGCGUUAAACGUGCCGCCUGGGAAGUACGGUCGCAAGAUUA
RNAcentral lists this ribosomal RNA (372 nucleotides) under uncultured organism. RNAcentral describes it as "bacterial SSU rRNA". It matches the Rfam family "Bacterial small subunit ribosomal RNA", at positions 526 to 896 of the family's 1533-position model. The record is from RNAcentral.